Molecule: non-coding RNA, 502 nt
Organism: Prunus avium (sweet cherry)
Lineage: Eukaryota; Viridiplantae; Streptophyta; Magnoliopsida; Rosales; Rosaceae
Source: RefSeq, a predicted model, not a curated record
GUAUACAAAUACUAAAUUUUUUGUCAAUGUGUUAGGCUACAAAAAUUGGGGAGAAAUUAGGUGCAAUUGAACAGUUUGCAGAGUUGCAUAAAAACGAGAAAAAUGGUUGGGACAUUGGAGCAAAAUCUAAAUGGGAGGAGAUGAUUGCUAUACGAGUUGAAACUUCAACAUGUGAUACUAAAACAAUAACUGAUGAUGAAAUUGUUGCCAAAGUUCUUGGUGUAAAAUCAGGAUAUAUUAAGGGAUGUGGAUUUGGGCCUCGACCCUCAGGAUCUUUAUCAAAAGCACAUGUCUCUCAGCAUAACAAAGAGCUCGAACAAAUUGUUCAGAGCCAACAAGAAGACCUUGAUCGUCAAUGUGAACUUAUCAAAGUAAUGGAGGAGAAGCAAAAAAAAUUUGAGGAGUUCAUGGAGAAAAUGAGCUCAGGCUUCACUUGAUAUAUCAGUCAGUCAUCUUUAUCAUGAUGUUGUUUUGAAUUAUGAUGACUAAUGUUUUGAAGUAU